UACGUUAUCCUGAUCCUCAGUGUUUACCGCACGCUGAAUGAAUUAGCUGAAUUACAAUCAUCAGAACAAAGAGACGCCGUCAGGGUCGUUACCGUGGCGCAAAUUUUCAUUUAUCUAACUGGAUGCGAACAAAUCCGUGCGUAAAUCAUCUAUACGAGAGAGUUUACACAGAAAAUUUCAUAUUCAAAUCAAUCCUGUAAAUUCGGAACAACCUUCGUAGCCUACUCGUGCUGUCUGAGAGUCACCUGACACAGGAUUUAGCACUCCAUCAUUAUUAUUAUUAUCAUUAUUAUUAUUAUACACUAUUAAAUAUGUUUAUUGGCAUAGUCAUGAAUCAAACGCUGUAGUCACCGUAUAUUUCAUGCUGAUCCCAGCCGUCUGGACUUUUGUGGGCGUCACUAAAUGCAAACGAGUUGCGUCGGGAACGCACUUCGCACUUUUUACAGUUGAUCAACAUACGCACACGAAAACGGACAAAAAAAACAGCGUACCCAACAGAAAUCCGGCACAGUAGACAAAAAUAAAAAUAUCUUUCUAAACCCAUAUUCGGACGGGGUUAGUUUCCCAUGUGGACACGUGUAACGUGGUGUAUUUCACCACUAAGCCACUGCGCCUGUAAAAAAGGUUUAGAACGCUGAGCAACACUGCACCAGCCAGAGUGUCGUUAUACUGAACAUCAGCACGGCCGUGAUUGGUCCGCGGGGUCCAAGUGGUGUAGCUAAUAACAUCCACGCUGAUAUGACCGCAUGAUCGCGCAUGCCAUAUUGCUUUUACGCAACAGUCCUAUAAACAAGAAACAAACAUCAAGUGACAUUUCGGACACGAAUACGGUUCUGUUCGUUUUCGCUCCGCUGGCUGAUCCCGAAUAAGCUGCGCUCACUUUAGAGCACGCUGGCUAGCUUGCUAGCUCGCUUACACCGAUUUGUACCUUCACGUUAAAGGUGCUUCCGGUGAAGCCGGCGUCCCUUCUUCCUUUUCAUCGUCAACCCACGAGCUUCCGUAUUUCAAGCGGAAAGUCGAAUCUGUCAUGUCCGCCGAUGAUGGCGCUAACUCUACUGUAGUAACGGGACAGAUGCGUAAAGGGGCGCGUCGGAGACGCGACGACUCCGUGGGGUUUUUAGGCGAGUUACUUUUGAUGCGGUGUAUGAACACGUUAUGGUCACGCGACCGACCUUCGUAAUGAUCGGCCACGCCCCCUACCACAAUCGCUUAUAAUAAAGAUCUACACGACCCGUGUGUAUUAAAUUGAGGUGUGCGUAGUGCGUAGGGAACUGUUUGCACGUCAUGAAGCGUGCCACACCCAUCUCGCUGAGGCAUUUCUACAGAGAUCAGGUGCGAUAUGACCAGGUGCGAUAUGACCAGGUGCGAUAUGACCAGGUGCGAUAUGACCAGGUGCGAUAUGACCAGGUGCGAUAUGACCAGGUGCGAUAUGACCAGGUGUGAUAUGACCAGGUGCGAUAUGAUCAUUCGCGAUAUGACCAGGUGCGGUAUGAUCAGGUGCGAUAUGACCAGGUGCGAUAUGAUCAUUCGCGAUAUGACCAGGUGCGAUAUGACGGUAAAAACACAGUAUAUCACGGUAUUUCUACGAUAAAGAAGAACAAUAAUAAGUGGACUGGAAGUGGGUUUUUGUACCGAAAUGUCUGAUUUAUGUUAUUUCUGUUCAAAUAAGUACAGACGUCCUCAGUGACCCGACACCCCGCCGUCUCUCUCUCUCUAUCGCUUUUCCUCCUUCUCUUUCCCUCCUUUUCCUGCAUAUCCGCCUCUUUGUUGACACACAAACAAACAGCCGACCCUGACACACACACACAAUGUGUGUAUUUUUAGUCCCGAUGACGCAGUGUGUCUGGAGUGGAAUGAAGAAAGAACAACAAACUGAAGGAGUGUAUCGUUUCAGCAUCACUGAACCUCGGGAGCUGGGUAAUGCAACUGAAACUAACACACACCCCUACACGCUUCGUUUAACGGUUCCUUGGAAGACCUCAAAUACAGGUUUGUGCGUCCCGAGAUGUUUUCGAUACCGCUAUAAGAUGCGUGUGAGGAGAUAAAACUUUGUGGUGGUGUAGUUGAACAGUUCCUUUGAAAGCCCUACAUACCUUUGCAGAUUUACACAACGACUUCCGAGACGUUUUCUCAGUAAGAAGCGUGUCAUAUGAAUCGAGGAGGAUCCCGUCCUUCGAGAAUGAGCUGCAGCGUGACGACCAAAACUUCGCUGCUAUUUAAUCUACACCGUGCGAUUUGGGACCAGGCCGUGGAUCGGUCCCGUGCCGUACACACGUCUGAUAGAGGAUCAGGAUCUGAAAUAUUCAAACACCAAACAUCAUUCCAAGUCUACUCUCAGGUCCAAAAUCCCGGUGGGUUUGGGACACGCCCAAGGUGGACUGAUGAUGAUGGGGGUUUUUGUGGCCCAUAUAGUGAACAGGUAGAAUGCCCGUAGGUGCCUUACGAGCGAAAGAAUACGGUGUGCAGUUUGGGACUCAUCCAUAAGCACCUCAUAUGUGAAUUAACAGGUUGUGUGGUUUGAGACACGCCCAUAGGCGCCGUACACGCUGAAUAACAGAGUAUGCAGGUUUUUACAUCUGCAUAGAGAUAUACCUGCUUCCUUUUGAAGACUUCCACACACGGACUUAAAGACACGCCCACAUUUCCAUUGCUGUCUUCAGGACACGCCCACACAGACCUGUUCUUUCGUAUGAAGUGUUGGUUAGACACUGAAAUCUUUUACACGACAAAGAGUUCACGGUGUUGACCCGACCUCCGAAUUCCCCAGAUCUCGAUCCGAUCCAGCGUCUGCGAGACGUCCCGGACGAACAAGUCCGAUC
Molecule: long non-coding RNA, 2819 nt
Organism: Ictalurus punctatus (channel catfish)
Lineage: Eukaryota; Metazoa; Chordata; Actinopteri; Siluriformes; Ictaluridae
Source: Ensembl